AUGUGUUGAGAGUGUGUUCUUUUUUAAUUAGAAAACCGCCGCAUGUUGGCGAUUUCUGCUGAGCUGCGAGAGUAUAAUCAGUAGCGGCAACGUUUUGCAAGAUGUCGGACGCAGACUGGGAAAAGGAAGAUUUUGAUUUCCAACACGUUGUCAGCGACAAAUGGGAAGGAGAAGACGAAGACGACGACGUCAAAGAUAAUUGGGAGGAUGAUGAUGAAAAGAAAGAUGUAAAACCUGAGGAAACGGCAACUAGUGUUAGAGCUUUUCAAAUAAAGAAAAAACGACCCAUAGCUGAAAUCAUAGCUGAAAAAGAAGCUCAACAAGAAAAAUUGAAAGAUGAAGAAUCCAGAAGUGAAGAAGUUGAAUCGCCAGUAGAUCCAAAUGCUGAAAAACUUCGACGGAGGCAGCUUCAAGAAGAAUCUGACCUUAAAUUAGCAAAAGAGGCUUUUGGUUUAGUAGAGGGAGCUGGUAUUGACCAAAUGAGUCCAGAAUCAGAAGAAGAUUUUAUAAAAUUUGAAGAAGCAUUAAAAGAAAAGAUAACAACAUUUGAGAAAUCACCACACUAUACAGCAUUUUUAGACAAGCUAUUUACAGACCUUAUUAUUAAUGUUGAAUCUGAGGAAAUUAGAAAAAUUAAUGCAUCACUUAGCAGUAUGUACCAUGAAAAACUGAAACAACAGAAGGCAUGUGUUGGAUGAGAUUUCUUGUGGCAGUACUAUAGGUGCCCUUUCUGACGCCAACCCUUGUGUUCAAGAAAUUGAGAAAAAGAAGAAAAAGAAAACUAAAGCAUCUAUAAAGUUUGGUAAAGAAAAUGACUUAGAUGAUAUACGCUAUGAUGAUUUUGCAGAAGACUUUAUGUAAGAAAUAUCUGAUGUGUGGCUGCCCCUGGUCUGCUGGCUGUGGCUAUAGAUUGCUACUUAAUAAUUAAUUUGAUACUGUCAGCAUGAUAGAAAGUUUAAAACGGUGGUGGUGGUGCUUGUGGUGGUGUCUGACUUUUGUAUUCUUCCACAUUGGCGUCACCUUCACCGCUGUUUGAUGGAGCAUGCAAACUGGAACAAUAAAUGAAAUUGUACAUUUAAAUAGGUGGGUUAAAUAAAUCACGAUGCUUUUACAUGGUGGAUGACAUCUCAAUGGCACUUAACUCAUUGGUCUAUCUGCCUUGGAUGACUUCUCUACUGACUUUGGAACCAUUUGUAAAAGAAAGAAAUCAAUUUACUAUUAUGUAGAGAAUCUUAAAGAAGACCGGCUUAAUGGUGCCAUUGCUGACAAACAUUAUCUCAAUUCCAGCUCUCUUAAUUUCUUCCUCUUUCUUUUCCCCCUCCUCCUCCUCCUAUCUCUAUUAUAAAAAUUAUUUAUAAUAUAAAUAUUCUAUUAAUAAAUAUUCUCUACGUA
Molecule: RNA transcript, 1392 nt
Organism: Octopus sinensis (East Asian common octopus)
Lineage: Eukaryota; Metazoa; Mollusca; Cephalopoda; Octopoda; Octopodidae
Gene name: eukaryotic translation initiation factor 3 subunit J-A
Exons: 10
Source: RefSeq, a predicted model, not a curated record